Long non-coding RNA from Numida meleagris (helmeted guineafowl), 6306 nucleotides. RefSeq lists it as uncharacterized. NCBI's taxonomy places the organism in Eukaryota, Metazoa, Chordata, Aves, Galliformes, Numididae. The record is from RefSeq and is a predicted model, not a curated record. The transcript has 3 exons.
CUGCAGAGCUCCUCUCCAGCAGGUCAUCCUUUAAUUAGUACUGAUGCAUGCAGUUAUUCCUCCCCACGUGCAAGACUCUACACUUGCUUUUGUAAAACCACGUCAGGUUCCUCCCUGCCAAAUAUCCCAUGUGUCAGCCAUGCCUCCCAGCUUUGUAUCAUCAGAAAACUUGCUGAGGGUGGACUCUGUCCCUUCAUCCAGGUCACUGAUGAAGACGUUGAAGACUGGACCCAGCAAUGACUCACACAUAUCUUUUUAAAAAUGUGAUCCUAAAUUCUGAAUGCAUGACUGAUGCAAUGAGUCUGAGAACAACAAGUACUAAGGAAUUUAUACAGCAGUGCCUUUACAGCAAUUUACCAUUGCUUGCCUGCAUUCAUAGAUAUCCAAAAAGCAGCUUUAUUCAUCCUUUUAUUAAUACAGGCAAUGAAUAUUUCAUAUACUAAAUAAGAUUUCCUGGCCUGGGAAUUUUAGGAUGCUUAAGAGUGGUUCAGAUGAAGAAACAGAAGGAUAUAGAAAUAAAAGGCAUUCUUCCUUAGGCUGUUAAUUACAUCAUUCAGAUUUUUAAAUUUCUCUCCUAGAAAUCAAUUUCUUUUUCCUCUUAUAAUUUAGAGAUUAUAUAAAACAAAAUAGAAAUACUAGCUUCAAUUCAGAAAGAAAAAAAUUACAGGUCUGGACUAUUACAUCCCUGUUCUGAGAUCCUGUUACACUGUUUACCAUCACAAAACAAAGGCAGUCUGAUACAGCUUGCCUUUUAUAAAUCGACUGGAUUGGUUGUUAUGUGGAACUUGGUUGUUAUGUGGUACAACAAGGUAAACAUUUACAGAUUCUUCAAGUAAGGUGACUUCCACACAGUUCAAGAAAAGGGAUUAAAAAAACUCCGCUCUUUCCAGUCUCCCACACAUACAUCACCAUCCUAAUGGAACUCUGAGCCCUCAAAAGUUCUUUCAGACAAGUUGAUCCAGUUAUCCACCUAGUAUAAAGCUUCCUUAUGCUCAGAUAAAUCAGAGAACACCCACUCAAGUCCUCGCUUAGAAAUAUCAGUUUUCAGAAUUACUCUGAAACAACAAUCAGAAAGAUCCUAUCUGUUUUGCUCUGCUGAGGCUUCAGUUCUGUUACAGCAACAACAGGAGCAAAGCAAUGAAAAUUUCAACAUGGCAUCCAACAAAAUGUUACAAGUAGCUAAAGCAGCAAGGGACUUUAACAGCUUUAACUAAACAACUUAGCAACACGGAAAGGCUUAAAAAACAGAAGCUUGUAACUUAGGACAUUUGAUUUGAAAAGUACCUUUUCAAUUAGUAACAACUACUGAAACUCCUUUAGUUACGUAUAAUCAAACCUGAUGACUGUAUUCACCUCAAUCUAGAAUUUUGCAUGGCACAAAUACAAGAAUGCUUCAAGCUACAAAUUAAGUAUGCCAGAAGUAUUAACAAAAAACAAUUGCAAUAUAUUAUAAUGUGAAUUACUUGCUUCUGUUUGAUUGCUUGCCAUCACAAAAGUAUUCCUGGAAUGUUAGCACACCAUAUGUCACAGUUUGGCCUGGUUCAGCCUAGUUCCAUGACAAGGGGGUGAAGGGACUCCCAAACCCACACCCUGGAAAAGGAGGGAUCAGGGAGAGGAGGUGAAAAAGUCAUUUUCCAGGUUCCUCUCAAUGGCAACCUAGAAGGCAUUUUAUUCUACAAAGCAGCAGCUAAAUUUACUGGACACUGAGACAAACAUACCAAGUCCGAGAAGUAAAGGUGAGGCAGUCAACUAUGGUUCUACCAGCUUUCAAACAGUAUGCGCUCCCUAGAAGAUAAUCUCCUGGAACAGUACACGUUACAGAACAAGCAACCAGAGACAGCUAGUCUGAAUUCAUCCAAAUAAAGAAAAGCUUCACAGCACCACCUCAAUGGUUAGUUAAGUCCUCAUUCAAAGAUACUACCUUCACACACCACACAAAUGGAUCCACACAAUGUAUGGGCUGAUACAGACCCUAAAGCUCACUGCUUUUUAGAACAGCUCAAGUUUUAAAAAGAAAACACAGGGGCUUUAAGUUUUUUGUUUUUUCUUUUUAAAGACUGAGAUUUCAUUUAAAAGUUAGAAUUUUGCUAAACUCUUCAGUUUGCAUAUUACUUUUCCCUUUCUGCUCCCUGCCUUGCAUCUAUAAAAACUCUAGUGUUAAAAAUACCCGAGUAACAUUUUCUGAAUAGAAUUCUCAUGGAUCACGGGCACUUGGACUGAAAAGCAGAUUUCAAACAGAAGUCUAGAGAAUGAAAAGUCCAUCCUAGUUGCCAAGAGUGCCUUGAGGGUAGUGGUGUGACACCCAGAAACCAGCAAUUCUGGUAGUUCGGAAAAGCAAUUCAGAGGUGAGGUCCCCAAAAAACUCAUCUUUUUGCCACUUGAUGUAAAAGGAGUAAUGAGCUUUUUCUAUAAUGUAAGAAAAAAAAAUCCCUUAUCCAAUGAGAGCUAAAAUAGUACAUUUUCCUUAAGAGAUCACCUUCUAAGAAGCACGGAAACUUUAAUGCACAGAUUAGUAACAGCGGGUGCUGCUAGCAUCUAAACUGGAGGGAUGCACCUAAUUCCUCUCCACUUCUCUUUCUUCUUGGUGCACAAGAGCUCACAAGCUCCAGCUGAGACUUUCCCACUGCUGGGGGAAGCUCCCUUCUGAACCAGCCCCGCUUAGCAUGAUUUUGGUGCCCUAUAUUAACACUGAGCUCCCAUCACGCCUCUUUCAAAGGCAGCAAUACCCAGAAUACUCCUUCUCUACCCAGCUGCCAAUUUUCAAGAUAGCUAAGUAAACACAUUUUUGAGAUGAUCACCUCUGCCAACUUGUUGCAGUGGUGCAAAAUUUCAGUUCUUUUCUUUCCCUCCCCAGUCCAAAGACAGACACCCAAAACAGUCACGGCAGCAUAUCAACUGUGGUCCACAUUAAAUCACCUUCCUCCAAUCAAGAAAAACACAAUCAUAAUUUUCACUUGACAGCAUGUUUUCAAAGGUAGUUAAACUGCAUCUGAUGUGUAUUUGGACAACUAAUUUUGUUGAUCUUCCCUCGAUACCUUCCAGCAGUGACAGACAAGUCAGCAAUUGUGUGUCGAUUGCUCUGUCAAACUGAAGGAAAAAACAGGACCAAGGAAAUUAGCUCUAUCUAGUACUGGGACCGAGAGCUCUCUGUGUUUAUGUAAGAAAGACAGCAACGCUUGCUCUCCACGAGCUUUCUGGGAAGGAAAUAAAGGUUUGUAAGUAGCACUGAAAUUCUUUCAGCACCAGCAGCAGCCUUCAGUAUUAGCUGAUCAGAUCAUUUUAGUGACCAGCAGAUGCCAAGCAGAGGAAAUUCAAAGUGCUAUCAGUGAUGGUAAGCAAAAUACGUGUAGGGACUUGCAAAAUGAUCGGUACUUUACUGAACUUAGAGCUGAUAACUGCAAGUGUUAGAAAUACAGAAGUCUCUUUAAAUCUCAUGAGGGCAAACAAAACAGCUCCUGUGUGGUAUGAUGCAUGGAACUUACUGAUGCAAAAAAUUGUUUUUAAGUGCUUGAUUACUUAAGAGCAUUUUUCUUCCCAGGUAUCAGAAGAUACAUCAUCUUUUACAUGUAUUUAACUUCCUUUCUAAGCUUUUAAAGACUCAAAUCCUCUCCUGUAGAAUAGCAUUCAGAGCACUUAACUAUCCUUUUCAGAAGAGUACAGAAAUAUAAUAUUAAUGACAAAAGUCAAAUGUGAACAGGCACAGUCCUCAACAGACUCAAGAGAGUCAUUCGUAAGUGUGCAAGAGCAUCUGUGGUAGGAUAUAUGAACACAACCUCUUGAGAAAAGCACGCAUGCCAUAUAUGCAGAGACACAAUGAAAGAUUUAAUCUUUCAGAGAUCUCCUAAAUACUUUCAGUGUUUACUCUGUCACCAUGUCUCCCCAUCUGUUCCACUUUUCUGCUGCCUGGACUAUUUCUUCACCUCUCCCUUUUUCCAGUGAGAAAGAAUUCAGGAAUUCUAAACUUGUUGCUUUAACUCUGAAACCUGUAACAGUGUCUGUGUAGUACAACUCAUUGGUGCAUCCAAAAAAAGGGCCACAGCUCCUAGGUGCCUGCAUCUCCUAUUAGAAGUGUUGGCAAACCAGCUUCUAUACCAAGAUAGCAUGCUACUCGGUGUAUGUUAUAAUUUAUAUAGUGUAUGCGUAUGUGAUACACACUGAUUUACAUUUUUCUUAUAUACUGGAGUACAACAAUGAUUUAGAGUCUCUGUACAUACAGAACAACUUAACUGUUUUUCUAAUCUAUUUAAUUUGAAGCUCAAAGGCAUGUACACAGCAUCCACUUCUGCAUUACCAUAUUUUCUGUCUUCAUGCAAAAAAAACACCAAAUGCAACACCUAAAUUUGGGCAUGCUUUCUUGUUGCAGCGAACAGGCACAACUGCUUAGUCCCAUAGCAGUUGUUUCCUACACACUUCCAUGCUUUUUGCCAUCACCUCAUCAGCCACAGGCUUCCAGGCAAGCCCACAUGCCCACUUUGCUCCCUGUCUCACCUUUCCACACAACUGAGCUCCUGCACCACUCACACCCGCAUUAGAGUAUGACGUUCAGAAUGAACCAAACCCCAGUCCUCAGUACCCCCAGUGGGACACCCUGUCCAUGCGCCUGGCUUCAGCUUCUCAGAGACCAGCAGCCCGGGGACCAGCUCCUGCAGCCUACACCAGAAGCAGAGAUGCAAGGAGCCAGUGUGACUAACUCAGGGAACAAAAAGCAACGAGUUCAAACACUGUCCACAGCAGGAAGAACAUUAUGUGGAGAUCCACGAGAGCUAGUAAGAAUCUCCUGAAUCCUCAUCUAACACAUUUGCUAAGACUGCUGCUAACUCAGAGAUCAAGGAAAAGAAUCUGAGUCCUGAGUUCCAGCAGACAGUAAAUAGAGGCAUUUUUGCAGAGAGCCUAAAUAAAUACCGGUGGACAUGUAUUUAGGCAAGUCAGACUUAGGCUACAUGGAGAUAGUGAGUUUUAUUGCUGCAACUCCUCAUGCAGAGGUAUUUUGACAGGGAAGCUAGAUUUUAAAAAAAGGCACUACUCCCAGUCUGGAGAAUUAGUACUUCUGAGAUUUUCUCCAAAAAUACACUUAAGAUUUUUCUGCAACUACUGCAGUCAGGCACUGUGCAUCCAGGGUUACUUUUCUUUAAGGCAUCUUCAGCUGACACAGGUUACUGAUCCUGCAAAACAUUUGUUCUUGGAAAAGCUGCAGCUGAGAAUUCAGGGCCAUCGCAUCCCUCACUGAUCCCCUGUUCUGGUCUAGCCUCCACACAAGCAGUUACGCAAAGGCAAAACUAGCAGUUUCAUUCCUCCUGGGUUCAGCUGCACACUGAGGAACUAAGUGUGAUUCUCUAUACUUUGCAGCAAUGAACGUUUCCUCGAGAGCAGUCUCACAGUGAGCUGGGUGAGAUGCUCCUUCUCUGCGGUUGUGGGACAGGGAGACACCCAGCAGCACUAACCUACACUCGGUGACAGAAUGAAUGCAGGCAGGUGGUUCCAUGUGGCACUGUAUGAAGUUUGAUCACUUAAAGACAUUUAUGCAACACGCAGUAUGCUUAGACAGGAAUUCCACAAGAGAUGGUAGCUGCCUGAAGUACCCAGAAAAAUGUUUAAAAAAGGGAAUGCUGAAAAAUAUCAAGAACUCUCUUUUUUCGGAUAAAGUACUUUUUAAGGCGGCACAAACACAUCACCCGCCCCUCCUACAGAAAGGGAACCCCUCUGCAAGUUUCAACCAAUCCAAGCCUACAACAAUUCCAAAGCAACGGUUCGGAGCGAGGACGGCAGCCCCGUCCCGCAGCGCACCGCGGGCACGGUGACGGCUGGAAGGCGCCGGCCGCAGGACGGGGAUCGCCGCGGGGAGGGGCGGGCACAACGGCGGCUGCAGGGAGACCCGCUGCCCUUGGCGUGCCUUCCCCAAAAACCACCUGCCUUUGCAGCUACCGCCUAAAAGAACAAAGAAAAAAGCAUCUCUGAAAGCAGCAGCAAGACGGCUAGGUGUGCAUGGGAGAUCUGACUGUUUGGCUAGAGUUGUUAGGAAACGAAAGAUGAAAUGAGGAAGUGAAGCAGAACUAAAGGGGUGGGAAGAAAUGAGAGCAAGUCCUCUCUAGGUCUCGGAGGGGAUUUUCACAACACAGCGCUCUCCUCAGCGUGCGCUUCUGCACAUACAGCCCUCUCACUGCGCGCUGCGAGGGAAAAGAAGAGUGGGAUCCGCUGAGCACUGCCAGAACAACCCGGCACACUCCCGGGCACCCCCGGCCCUCGAUAACGGCAUCAGCCCGCGGCCGCGCUGCUCUCCCGGCCCGGCGCCGGCUCACGGCCGCCCCG